Long non-coding RNA from Notolabrus celidotus (New Zealand spotty), 835 nucleotides. RefSeq lists it as uncharacterized. The record is from RefSeq and is a predicted model, not a curated record. The transcript has 3 exons. Lineage: Eukaryota; Metazoa; Chordata; Actinopteri; Labriformes; Labridae.
GGCAAGAAACGCUUGCUUGAGACAAGCCUGGGUUCUGCUUCUUAAGAAUCCCAUCUGAGAAAGAAAAUCCUGAGAGGAGGAGAUGUGGAUUAAUUCUAUUAGACGAUCUGCUGCCCCUGCUAAGGGAACAAAACAAGGAUCAAAGUCCAACAAAACAAGGAUCAAAGUCCAACAAAACAAGGAUCCAAGUCCACACAUCUUUGAGCUUUGAACAUUUCAUUAAUGAGAAACGCUGUCCAUGAUCAACCUGAACAUCAAAGAGGCGAGAGUCUGAGAGCCUAAUUAGAGAUGACAGACACGUUCACUUGAUCCUGUUUGAUGGCUGGUGUCCCAUCUUUCUGCACAAUCUUCAGUACAAUGCAUCCCAGGUCCUCCUUUCUCAGGGUCCCAGCCUUCUUUCAAUUAUGGAUCCCUCUCACCCCUGCUUUGUUCCUGAUGAUUUUAAGAUGGCGAGCGUCCAACCUAUUAAAAAAACUCUGCCCUCAAUCCAACCCAACCGAAUAACCACGGCCCUUUUUCCAAACCGUCAUUUAUCUGCAGGAUUCUUGGGAAAGUCUUCACACUGCAGCUUCUUAAAGUCUCUGAUGGAACCAGCAUUGAUAAUAAAAGCAGACUGUGCAGCAAAUAAACCUGCUGAAAAUGACAAUCUACAUCAACAUGACAGCCAAUAUCGAUGAUUGCCUUAGGAAACAGAAGCAUGUAAAGUCUUACCAACCUCAGGUGAAGUGUUUGAAGGACAUCGGUUUGAAAGAGAGUGAAAUCAAAGACAUGAUGCUGCUUCUAACUGUUGUUCCUGUUGUGAGGACUUAUUUCCCAUUUAGCAUGAAUAAAUCCU